Molecule: unclassified non-coding RNA, 1252 nt
Filed under: Hevea brasiliensis (rubber tree)
Lineage: Eukaryota; Viridiplantae; Streptophyta; Magnoliopsida; Malpighiales; Euphorbiaceae
Source: RNAcentral
GUCGAACACCUUUUAGCCCCGAUCAGGCCACCAUCUGCUCCUGCUCGGCCCAAGGUGAAAGCAUAUCAGAAGCAGCUUGACGGAACUGCUUCUGCUGCGGCUGACCCACCGCCCGCACUGCAGGCCCAUCCUGCAUCAGCGAGUGCACCCAAGACACGUCCGGCUCAUCAAAAUCCUGAGCCGGCGCUGGCGCAGGCGACCCUCCAUAACUGCCUGUAGUGUUGCUGCUCCUGAUGCCGAAGGAAGCGGACUUCCUGAGCUUGUUCAGCUCCUCCCCCUGAAUUCCCCAGUCAAGCUUUCCGGUCGGGGAGCCCCACCCUGAACUUGUAGCCCCAAUCGGCGCUGCAGCCAGGCCAGAGCUGCGACCAACCACCCCGCGAUCAAUGAAACUCUGGCUACGCUUUGCGAACGCUGACGACCUCGAAUUCAUGAUAGCCUUAGCGGUGGAAUGAUCAAGCCCAAGCGACGACGAACCAUAUGCAGGAUUCAUCUGCUGGCUCAUCGAUUGGUACUGAGCAGCAGCAGUGGCAGUCUGCUGCAUAGAAAGCCCCUGAAGCUGAGAAAUCACAGACCGGUCAAGAGACCCGAGCAGCUCGCUGUAAUCGGAAGCCCUGCUAGCAUUCAUCCUCAUACUCGAGCUCAAAUUCGAGCGAGGAGACGAAAGAUACCCCUCUAGCCCCAUCAAAUCCAUGCCAUCGAAGUCAAGGUCCCUGGCAGAGAGGGAUGCCUUCAGCCUGCUCGGCAGCUGCAGAGAGGAAGGCGACAUCGGCGCCCCCGACUGCUGCAUCAUCAUCAUAGCCGCAGCCAUGUCAAUCGACGGCGACCGUGGUGACGACGGCAGCGACAUCCCGACCGAUGCGGCAGUUGGAUUGACCGAUCGCAAUUCCUCCGGCUUGUGAGCAAAGAAGCAGACGCGACGAUUGCACCCAGUCUCAUCCUUGCAAAGGCGAGUGCGGUACUGCGCUGGGUGGAGCCAGCUCUCAAACACCCCGUGUGCGUACUCGCAGGCGUCCCCGUUGCGGCAGGCGGCGGACUUGCGGAACUCUGGGCAGGGGAUGGAGCUGUACAUGUACUUCCUUGGGUCCCUGCGGCGGGCGUUCUCGCCGGGGUGGACGAAGGGGCACUCAGUCCAGUCGUGCGAGUAGGCUCUGGAGCAGGGUUUGACUUUGAAGGUAUAGAUGCGGAACUCGUCGGUGCCGUAGAUGCCGGUUUUGAUGUCUGGGAGAGUGAGGUCGAGAGGGUAGGAGGGUUU